RNAcentral lists this ribosomal RNA (301 nucleotides) under uncultured bacterium. Its description in RNAcentral is "partial 16S ribosomal RNA". It matches the Rfam family "Bacterial small subunit ribosomal RNA", at positions 509 to 807 of the family's 1533-position model. The record is from RNAcentral.
CAGUAGCCGCGGUAAUACGAAGGGUGCAAGCGUUAAUCGGAAUUACUGGGCGUAAAGCGUGCGUAGGCGGUUUGUUAAGUCUGCUGUGAAAUCCCCGGGCUCAACCUGGGAAUGGCAGUGGAUACUGGCAAGCUAGAGUGUGUCAGAGGAUGAUGGAAUUCCCGGUGUAGCGGUGAAAUGCGUAGAGAUCGGGAGGAACAUCAGUGGCGAAGGCGGCCAUCUGGGACAACACUGACGCUGAGGCACGAAAGCGUGGGGAGCAAACAGGAUUAGAUACCCCAGUAGUCCCUGUCUCUUAUAC